GUCCAUUAGGUGGCGGGAGUUUUCCUUUACGUUUGGUUUGCCAACUGCAUUAAAGACAAGAAGCGAAAGAAGAAGUGUAUUCCCUAUUUUUACUGAUUAUACCUGUAAAUACUGCAGUUAUUUCAUCCAGAGCUGAACUGACUCAGCCAUGAUUUAGGAUGAUUUAAGACAAACAACAUUAAGAACUGACCGCUUCAAGGAGGCCUGGAGCAAAUUGAACCGCUGAUUGAAUCCAAAGCCAAAGGACAUUAAAAGAAUCAAGACCCACUUGAGUUUGAUGGAGGGCAAAAGAGACAGAUGCAGCUGUACGUCCACGAGCUAAAGCACAUCAUCCUCAACAACAGGCAUCAGACUCUUCAGGCUAUGAGAGCGAGCUGUUGCUGGAAUUGCAUCAGCCAAUCGCAGAUGCUACAUCACUUCCAGGUGUUUUUACCUCUUAUUGACCACGGUCUGCUGGGAUGUCCUCUCUGUGUGGGCCUGCUUUCAUAAACACCAUUACACAUAACUUCUUUAUGCGUUUCCCUCGGCCUACCUUCAAUUACGGUUGCAGCCACUCUCGCCUUCAUGUUAAUUUGUGCGUUGAGACCUUUGAGCUUUGUGAUGAGCUGGUGUUAAUCACACAGCUCACACCACAACUGUGUCCACAGCCCCUCGGAGAUUGCCUCUGAUCAGAGCAAAAUGACUUGACAAGUCUGUGAUUCCAACAAUUCAAGACACCAGUUUGCCCGAGGACAAGGGCGCAGCCCCAAACAUCCCAUAAUUACCUUGGGGGAGAUGAAAAUGCAGAGAGAACAGGAAAUCUUGAGGCAGAAAUACACAGAACACUCAAUCCUACAUCUUACCGGUUGCUGCUGGGGCAUUACGGCAGGAGUGUAAUGGAGGACUUGUUUGCAAAUGCAAAUUAAAAUUAAAUAGAAGGGAAAGGAAAGGAGGCCAACUUUGAUUUGGUGUUUGUUUUCCCACUCAACUGACCCAAACCUCUUCCUCCCAGGGCCAUGAUUAAUUUGUGGCUGGCCCUGCUGUACAUGGGGGCCCAAUCAGUGGAUGAUAGGCCUUUGAUUGGAUGCAGGUUCUCAGCUCUCACAUGCUAUUAGGAAUCACAGGUCUGGCUGUCUGCUCAGUAAACAUGGCCAUACCUCAGAUGAAGACUGACUCAACAGCAGAACAGAUGGUGAGAUCCUGCAGGAGCUGUUGGGUGUACACAGAGCCGAGACUUCACCUCCUGAAUGAAUGAGGAGACAAAAACAGAUGAGGGUUAUACAAAGAGCUCUUCAGUAUAAAAAAGUAAAAUCUGUUUUUACUCUGAUGGCACCCAUUCGCUGCGGAGGAUCCAUUGCUGAGCAAGUAAUGUAAUGCUACAUUUCUCCAAAUCUGUUCCAACUGAAACAAACUCUACAUCCUGGGUGGCCUGGGGGAUAUAAUAUUUUUGAUCAAAUUUUGGGUAAACUAUUUCUUUAAUAAACCCUAAUACAUAUUAUCUUGCAGAAAGGUUUGUGUGAUUAAUUGAUUAAUUUUAUGUGUAGAAAAUAUAAUUAGCUUAGCAUUAAAGCAAUGGAAGUAAAUGGAAAGUCCGCUGUUACUGAAAACCAAAUGUGGUUGUGCUCGGAUGUGUGACACAGGUUGAUGGCAUUUCUAAAAUACUCAUGUGAAUUAGCAAACAGAGAAAUCGAGGCCAGCAAGGAUGGGGAGCAGGUUUGUUUUGCAGGAGCAGGCCUUUGUAAUUGCUUUGUUUAUUGCCUCUUGGCUGUGUGCGAUGGCACAUAUGAAAUAUUACCAGGAUGAUGAUACGUCUCAGUCUAAUUCAAAAUUAUGACAGCUUAAAGUGUGGCAGAAAACAGGAAGGGGGGAGUUGGCUGGCUUUGCUGUCAUACAUAACACAACUUUGAGUAGAUCCUGACCUUCAGGCCCACAGGUACAGCUAACAAGAUUUUAAAAUGAUGACCUUCCAUAAUAAAUGAUUUGCCUGAACCUCAGCCAUGCGCGGUGGUGACACUAUUAGUGUUUAAAAUGAUGGCAACUUGAGUUGUGCUGUGAAAACUAAUUACAGAUGGGUAAUUGUUUUAUUUGUCUUGAUGUUCGCGUGUGAGUAAUGGCCG
This is a long non-coding RNA of Cyprinus carpio carpio, 2096 nucleotides long. The record is from Ensembl. NCBI's taxonomy places the organism in Eukaryota, Metazoa, Chordata, Actinopteri, Cypriniformes, Cyprinidae.